This is a long non-coding RNA of Chelonia mydas (Green sea turtle), 9036 nucleotides long. RefSeq lists it as uncharacterized. The record is from RefSeq and is a predicted model, not a curated record. The transcript is spliced from 4 exons. NCBI's taxonomy places the organism in Eukaryota, Metazoa, Chordata, Testudines, Cheloniidae.
GUCCCUUCCAACACUGAUAUUCUAUGAUUCUAUACUAACUUCCCAUUUGCCUCUACUGGAUUACAUCCAGUCAGCAUUUAACCCCUCGUUCAUCCAGCCUGCUCCACCUCUGCCCUGCUCAGGUCAGUCGAACAGCUUGAGAAGAUGUUGUCCCGGCAUGUCCUAGCUGGUCAAAGCAUCAGGGUUCUCGUUGCUCUCUGGUGUGAGCACGGCAAAGAACAUGAUUUUGGGAGGUGCAUCUGAAACCAGCAUCUGUGCGAGAGCAUCUCCAAGAGGCUGGCAGAGGUGGAGAUCCAGCCGAUGGCUUUUGAAUGUUGGGAGUGAAUCAAAAACCUUCAGGGUGCCUAUCACAAGGCAAAGGAUGCAAGCAAAGUCUGGCAGUAGCCUAUCUACCUACCCUUAAUCCAAGGAGAUUAACUGGGUGUUCACCACCACCCUGAGUAUGGAUCCCCCCCUUCUUGCAUGAUAGGCUUUUUGAGCUGGGACAGUGUGAGUUCUAGACUGGUGCAGAGGGGAUGAGGAUAGCACCACAGGGUUCUCUGGUGGCAGAGGUGCAGGAAUAGAGCCAGGACCUGAACUAGACCCUGGAACAGUCUCUGUGGCCAGCUGGGCUGUGGAAUGUCCUAGGUUCAUGUUCUGAGGAUCUGUUUGGGCCCAGAGAAUGUGCUGGAGAGGAAACACCAAUGGAGCCAGAGCUGCAGUUGGGAAGUGGCCACUGCUGCUAACUUUGUUACAAUGGGGGGAAAUUGCAGCAUAAGUGGGAGAGAUUUCUGGGUUACAAGCAAUAAAACUAUUGUUAUGGAGGAUAUUUAUGUGCUAUAGGGUGGCCUUAGCUUCAGUUGUGGGUUGAAUCCAUGCCAGAUCCCUGGCCCACCUCCUCCAACCUCCCCACGAUGUAUGAUCCAAGUGGGGGGUGAAGGGAAUUUAAAUGUGCAACUCUUGAUUUGUUCUAGCAACUGUUGCAUUGAUGGUGGGAGGGAAUCUGAUCGGGGAGUACCAGACUAACAGUGCUACCCCUCUGAUGAUUUGUAUAUAAUCAGGGUGCUAAGAGUCAUUGAACCAAACUGUAAAACCUGCAUAUAAUGGAAACCACUUCAGGCCAGAUGGUGCAGCAGCAUCCUUGGUUCCAGCACUUAUGACCACUCCGGUAGCUUACUAGCCCUCUCCAUUCAUUGAUUUGCUGUUCAGUCAGUAGGGGGCAAAAUGUUGUCGUCGUCUUGAUAAAUAGCUGUCUAUCACAGGCCUGGAAAAGUUGCUUUCUCUUCCAACCAGGGAUCUUCAGCAGACCAACAUCCUCCAAAGGUUGUCCCUGCCUGUGAUAGUGUUAAAACCAAUAUUGCUAACAGCCCCCUGGUCUGCGUGUCCUGACCCCGUAUUGAGCCCCAAAAAUGGUAGCAAGCAUAUAGGACAUUCAAGGAGGGAGUUGAUGGGAAUGGCUUUCUAAAGAUGAUUAACCAGAAAUGAAGGAGGAAUUGGAUAUUUGACUUAAUACUAUAAGUAUCUGGAGGAUGUAGUCAAUGACAUGCUAUGCUGUACCUAUAAAAGUUAGCUUUUAUUACACCCUUUCUAAAUCUAUACCUGCCAUACUUAAAAAUAUCAGUUGUAUGUGAUGGUCUUGUAUCUAGCUCAGAGGAAAUGAGCAUCUACUUGUGCUUUCAGAUGAUUAAGAUUAAGAAGGCAACUGUGUGUGUGCAUGUGUGGAGGGGGGGUGUACACUUUUGAAAGUCUGUGGCUCAGAAUACAGAGUGAGGUUUUUGCACAGCCUGUCUAUGGCUUUCUAACACUGUGUAAUCCCAGUAGGCACAGUAAUAGGUACCCAUGUCAUUGUCGGUUAGUCUGUAUACCCUUAGGGUACAGGUGGACUUUUCAGUUGUCUUCUCAACCCUAAACUUGUUCUUGUCAAAACUUGAUUUCUCAGCUUCUGUCUUAAAGUAGAGUAUCCACUCUGGAGCUUCUCCAGGUCUUUGUCGAUACCAGUGUAUAUAAGCAUUCCCGAAGUCCUGAAUGCCAGAAGCCUCACAGUUUAUACGUGCAGUUUUACCUUCUUUCCUGGUAACGGACAACUGAGCUUGUUUCAGAUGUAUUUGUGCACAUCCGUCUAGAAAGAGAACAAGAAAAGAAAACCAGAAAUUAACGUGAAUCUGGAGCAUGCAGAUGAAUGACGUCUGGAUUGGGAGACUGCAGUGUCAGGCAGUUAUGGGGUGAGAGCCUGGCCCCAUUUCCUUCUCUAGAGCCAGAUUUUUCACCCCAAGUGUUCUGCUCCUCUUAAGUGAUGACAAAUCUCCACCUACUCAGCCCAUGAUAACCCCCACAGACAACUACUGAGUGUCGGCUUCACCUAAUAUUCAGUGGGAAGAUUUUUGUUUUGUGUUUUUUUUUUUUUACAGGGCAAGGGGCAGCUAAACACACAACUCCCAUUGACUUGUAAUGAGAUUGGGUGCCUAACUCCCCUUUGUGCCCGAGGUGACCUCCUGUUCUGCUAGACCUGACCCGGUCUUAGUGAUUUAUGUGGAAAAUAUGCACUAAAUCAGCAGCUGCUGUUCAUAUCUAGUUGCAGAAGCCAAUGAAGAGUUUCUGCAGCUGGCUCAGGAAUUUUAAGAGAGGUGACAGUGGCCUCAUAGACGCAAAAGGCUGUGGCUCAGAAUGCAGAGUGGGUUUUUGUACAGGCUGUCUAAUGUUUUCUAACGCUGUGCGAUCCCAAUAGGCACAAUAGUAAGUAGCAAUGUCACUGGAGGUUAUUUUGUUUAUAGUCAGGGUACAGGUAGACUGGUCAAUCUUCUUUUCAGCAUUAAACUUUCCUUUAUCCGAGACUCUGUCAAAUUCAGACUGUGUUGAGAUGAACAGAAUCCGUUCUGGAGCUGCACCGGGUCUCUGUCUAUACCAGUGUAUAGGAGCUUUGCCAAAAUCCUCAGAUAGAGAAACAUGACAGUCAAUUCGUAAGGUUUUAUUUCCUUCCCUAGUGAUGGACAGCUGAGGUUGGGUCAGACGCACCUGCGAGGAGCCAUCUAUGGACAAACAAAGAGAAAAUAUAAAAAUAAAACUGAAAUAAUGUGAAGACUCUCUCCAGCAGCUGCUGUCAUGUACCAAUGUAUGCGGAGAGCAGUGUGAAUAGGGUGACCAGAUUUCCUGAUUUUUAUAGGGACAGUCCUUAUAUUCAGGGCUUUGUCUUAUAUAGGUGCUUUAACCCCUCCCCCGUCCCAAUUUUUCACACUUGCUAUCUUGUCACCCAAAGUGCAAGCAACACACUUACAGGAGCAAACCGUAGCCAGAACAAAAGUCUUUAACAGCAACAUUCUUGCUGCCCUUGUUGGAACUCCAGCCAAGGAAUGUAAAUGACGGUCUUGAAUGGAGAGAGACAUGUAGAUGGGGAGAGGAAGUGACUCAUUUAGAUAACCUCCAGUUAAGUGGUACUAGCUGUAGAAGAUUUAUUGCAAGGUGAGGUAGAAUUACUGCUGCUCAGUAUGACAACUUUGACCUUGGGCGAGUGUCAACCCUAGCACUGGUGUCAAAUAGAUUCCUUGGGUGUGUUUCAGGAUCAGUGUUCAUGAUUAUUAUUACUGUCGUUUAUUACUUAUAUUACUGUAGCAACCUGAGAUACUGUGCUGGAUCCGAGCCCCAGAGUGAAAACAAAGAGGCAAAGUCCUGCCUCACACUGCUGACAGCCUGAAAAAAGGAGUGACCUCUCCAGCUUGUAGGAAAGGAAAACGUCAAAACCCCUUUAUUUUUUCUACAUAUAUUUUUUUUUUUUACCAUGUCAUUGUUUAUGCAGAAAUACACUGGUUUUUGUUUUCUCCUCGCUCACCCCUAAAGCUCAUUGUGUGUUAGCAGAUUUCUUAUACAUCCUGUGGAAUAGAAAUCUUGCAGAGGAGAAGGUAGCGAUGUUGCAUAUGAGACGAGGGCCCUGUUCCAUGAGUAUGUGACAGUAUGGAAGAAAGCACGAAUGAAUUUGUUGGAAAAUUUAAUAGGCAGGUGAUGGACAAGACGGGGAAGAGAAGAGCUGAUGACCGUGCAGUUAAAACUGUAAUUGUCUUUCUGUCAUUCACUUAUCACUUGCCCAGGGAAGCUGCUGAGCCUUUCCUGAUGGAGAGAAUGAGUCAGUGCCCUCGGAUCGCAUGGAUACCAGUGGAAGAUGAUGGUGUUCACAAUGUUUCUGGGGACACUGAGCAUCUGGCAGAAUUCAGCUGUAGCAUAUUUUUCAGUCUUGAAUUCUUCAGGUUUUCUCCUACUUAAUUGUGGUACUUGGUCAUUUUACAUCUCACUACUCGUAACAGUGCUAAUACAUCUGUGUGCUAGUGCCCUUGACUGAAAUAGGAUGGCCUUGUUCAUGGACACUUAGUUUCAUCCUAGCUCUGUAAAAGGGCCAAUUUAUACCUGAAGGCGUCGUGUACAAUUAAUUUACAAGCAACUUCUUUCUCUUUUUUAAUAUUCGUUUUUAUUGUCUUGCAGUGAGGACUAAUCCACUGCAGAGAACUCUACUUGAAGUAGAGAAGGACUCUGUUCAGCUCUCAUUUAAAGGGCCACCAAGAAGUUGAUGUUCUGGAUAUUUCAAGAGCCAUUUUUGUAAACAGACAAUUCAUGCUGUUUUAUUCUGUGUUUAAUAGAGAAAUGAUCCCCCACAAAGGAAUUUGUUUAUCUGUAUAGGGCCUAUGUGAAAUUUCUGUCAAAAUGCACUCAUCCUGUGGGCCUUCAAAACCUAAUUCCUCUUCAUGGUGUGUGUGUGUGUGUGUGUGUGUGUGUGUGUGUGUGUGUGUGUUGCUUGACUGUAUGGCAGAAGGUAGAAAAGAAGUAACCAGAUUUUUUUUUUUUAAAGGGGAUGUCACAUCACUGCAGUCCUUGUUUUCCUUCCUUCAUUAUCCAUCCAAGCAUUUAUCCACAAACCCUAAACGGAGAGGAGUACUAGAGGAAUCAGCUCCCUGGGGCAGGGACUUUGAUCAUUUAUUUGCUCGUAAGGUGCAUUCAUGUGUAUGGCUAGAAAUAAAAGAUACACUCUCUGAAGCAGAUAUUUCUAUUACAUCUCAUCGAACAAACUGGUAUCGUAGACUAAAUAUGAAACCAGUCUUUAGAUCUGACCUUUGUGGUUUUAUGAGCAGGCAUCUGCUGGACUAACAAGCUCUUCACUGGUAAAUGCUAAUUAGAAAGAGGAAAAAGAUUCAAGCUAUUUCCUCUAGCAGUGUUGCAACAUAUUUUACAUUAGCAGUCUAGUUUCCAGUGCACUUGAGUAACUAACUGCACAAAGAUUACUGGAAUAUAUAGGCAGUAUUAAAAUGAGUUUAUGGACCAGGUGAUAGACUAACUAACCCUCCAUAAUGUCAGUAACCAGGAGAUUUUUCAUUAGAUCUGCAUAUUGGAUUGAACACCCUGGACUGACUCUCCUGUCCUUCCUGUUUCAAGGAAUGUCCAAUCUUGACCUAAUUCAAUUGUCGUGCCAGCUCCCUUAUGCAAACUGGUAACUGUAUCAAACCUUAGUCACUCCCCGAGAGAGCAACUAAAAAUGUUGCUGCCCUGACUAUUUAGCUGCCCUGUGCAACUACUUGGUCUUGUUGUUUGGCAGAGACAGGUGGGAUCUUACUGUUUGCAAAACUUGUGCCAGCAAUAGUUGUGUUGCUUUUAUCUCUUGUUGCAGAACCCAGUAAGGUGUUUCUGCGUCUGCUUCCAUCAUGAGAAGCAGGAUGAGGAGGUCACUGUGGUUUCUUGCAUUCGAAAGGCUGUUGUUGAGAAUACAAAGUAGGUUUUUGUACAGAAUGUGAAUGGUUUUUUGAUGCUGUGUGAUCCCAAGCGGCACAGUAAUAGGUAGCCGCAUCACUCUUGCUUAUUUUGUUUACUGUCAGGGUGCAGGUCGACUUGGAGAGCUGCUUCUCUGCCUCAAACUUUCCCUUCUCAGAAUCCUGGUCAAAGAUGGGUUUUCCUGAUGAAAGAUAGAGAAUCCGUUCCAGAGCUGCAUCAGGUCUCUGUCGAUACCAGUGUAUAUAAGCAGUACUAAGGGUUAUGCCAGAAACAUGACAGUCAAUUCGUGCAGUUCUAUCUUCUGCUUUGGUGAUGGAUAGUUGAGAUUGUACCAGUACUUGGGCCUCUCCAUCUGCAAAGAAAAGAGACAAAUGCCAUUUAAUCUGAAAUUGAAUGAACAUGGAGGAUCUCCAAUCAUUGCUCAGUAAGGUGCCUGCAUGGAGAAGCCUAGAGUGUAAAAAGCAACUUACAAGACCAAACUACUGAAGCAACAAGAUAAACUUGCAAUAGUAACAUUCUCACUAAGUUAUGAUGAGCCUGCUACUGAGAAAGAAAGGAAUAUGAAUUCUGAUCUCAGAAAAAGGGAGGGAUCACUUGAGUAGAGGAAGUGCCUGGUGAGCUAUUUCAAGGCAAUACAGAUUUGCAUUUGCCUUAUAUAAAAGUUCGAUAUAUGAACAUCUCCUAACCUUCCCUCAUGCUAUCUAGCAACUCUUCUGACUGCUGCCUUGUUUAGAACUUUUGAAAAAGAGUAUCAGAUUUUUAUAACAAUGGGAUUACAAGUACUGAGGUUCUCUGCCCCCCCAACCCCCUUUUUUAAACUUAAACAUCAGCAGAUUUGAUUACGGAAUAAUGCUCUCAGCAUGAAAAAGGCAACUAAUCUAACUUUUUCAAGCAGUGAUGAAAAUUAGAUCACUAAGUGUUGAUGCCAAGUCCAUUGAAGUCAAUGGGAAGCUCUUCAAUUGAUUUCAAUGAUCUUUGGAAUAAGCCCCAAUUCCUAGGGAGAAUUUACUUGGGGAUUUUUCAUCUUGUCUUAACUUAGAAUCCCCUCAAGUUUACAGAUCUGAUAGAAUUGUUGUCAAGGAAAACAAAUCAGUAAUCUCUUAAAUAAACACAUUGUCCUUGCACUUUAAUUUGACUUUUGCCUCAUCCAAACUCAGAGAUGCUUCAAUGAUUAACUCUUUGUUUUCACCUACAUCAGUAGAUUCCCGUUGUUUCAUAAGGGGUUUCAUAUGCUGUUUGUGAAUUCUGUUGCUAUAUACACCCUGUCUGUGAGUUUCCCUUUGGGUAUCGGUUGUCGUCUAUUCCACCCUAAUCCACAAGAGUAUGUAACUUUUAUUGGGUGACCUUCAUCUCUGUGCAGAGAGCCAGAACAAGGUCCUUACACUGUUUUAACCUCACUUAAAUCCUAUUUUGAGGGUUAUAGUGAGAAGUAAGUGCAGUAUAAACCUUGUCCUUGCCCCUCUACAAAGGGCUGAAUCUGUAACAUUGUGAAUAUACUUUGCAUGCUAUCCAAAGAAACAUAGCAACAAAUAUACCAUAUUUCAAAAACAUAGUUAUUAAGUAUACUGAUGGAGUGCUACCAGCACUGUCCCUGGUGCUUUUUUUUCAAUCAACACAAACUUCUUAACUUUCUUUGAACAGACCUAGCGGGGGAAAGGGAAUUAGGGUCAGAUCCUUAAAGGUAUUUAGGAGCCUGAACUUGGUCACCUGGAGAAACUUGGUCUGAAUUCCAAGGAUUUAAAAAUCAUAGUCUGUACCCAGGCAGCCAUUUUCCUAAUCAUGAGACCAGGAAUGAUCUCACAAAGAGGGCUGUACUGGACGAGGAUGAGAGUGGACGUUUAAAUGAGACUGAAAGCCUCCCUGUGGAAGCCUCCCUGUGGAAUUCUUGAGGGUGCUGAGAAUUGUCUGAGCCCUGCCUUGUUAAUUAAGGGCUAACUUACCACUGACUUAUGGGGAUGCACAAGGGAGAGGAAGGUUUUGAGUAAGUUGACUCACAUUAAUAGUCUCAUUGACUGAAGUGGGUUUAUUCAGGAGAGAUGGUUGUUUUCAAAAUUGACUCCUCAGGUAGUCUGAUAAUGCCUCAUCUUCCUCUGGCUCUGUUAUAUUGAAACAAGAAAAUUCAAUUAGAGUAAUUAAUUUGCUGUGCACUUAUUUUCAUACACAUUUAUACUCUGUUAAAUGGCCCUUGUGAUAGAAAUCUACAGGGUUCUCCAAUUUUAUUUUUACCAUUUAGUUUCUAUAGAAACAUGCAUUCUAGGAUGGAAACGUUGUAAUGACUGCAGUAAAUAUACAAUAUUCCUGAUCAAACAAUCUUGCCUCUGAAGAAUCAACAUCAGCCCUCUUCUUGACAUCUGGAGAGAGCCCCUUUACAGAACUGCAAAAGGAAAGCAGCACUUUCUGAAAAUGGUACCCUUGAGAAAUCUCAGCUGCUAAUGCCCAGGUCCAUGUUCCAGAUCUUGCUACAGCCCUCUGAAAAUUCUGGAGUUUUUUUGUUUUUUUUGAGGAACACAGUGGGAUAACUUUGCAUUGAGGACUGGGUCAUAACUUUAAAAAUAUACAUAAUAAUUGCCAGUACAAUGAUUAAGGGACUAGAAGGAAAAGAGUCUCUCAACUCAAGUAUAAAAUCUUAUUAUGACUUGAUUGAAUUCCGUACAUAAGUCUGAGAACUACUAAAAAUAAACUGCACACUUUGCUCAUACAGAGCUUAUUCUAUAAAGCACUAAAUAAUGAUGGAAGUGCUGUGGUCUCUCAGCUCUCAUUAGUGCCUACAGAUGAUGAUGAGAGUACCCACUACCUUUUGGAAAUAGCUCAGUAUCUUGCAGGAUGGAGCACCUUUCCUCUGGAGAUUUCAAAAUACUUUAAUCAAUUAAUCAAUCUUUAAUGCAGGAAAAAAGAAAUGCCAAACAUCUUCCUUACUGAUUCAGAGGAUGGCGUGAAGAAUAGACUUACAAAACUUGCAUAUGAUUAAAAACUGGGUUGAGUUGCAGACACCAGUGAGGACUGAGAAAAUAUGAAAAGCUUUCAGAAUAUCAGGAAAACUUAUUGACAUUGAGAUCAAUCAGGCAUGGAAUCAUCUCUCAAAGGAGGAGAUGGAAGCCCCAUUUUGGAGACCUUUAAAACUAGACUAGACAAAACACGAGAAAAUACUUCUGUAGGGAAUAGUUCUGCCUUGGCAGGAAGAUGGACUGGAUGCUGUAAUAGGUCUCUUCCAUUUCAAACCUCUCUGAUUUUAUGAACCUUAAAUACAUGUAAAGAAUUCUUUGGAAAUAAAUAUGUAAGUACUACACUUCUGUAAAUGUCCCAUGUUCAUGA